CCUCCUCUUUUUUCUCUUUUCAUUUCUUCUUCCGUGUGAGCGGUUCAUCUUUCAGCCCUCCUCCCCCGCUUCCUUCCCUACCCUUGCAGCCGCCGGCGUCCCCUGCCACUGGGAAAUAGCAGCCUGUGCGGAUCCGGCCGCGGCUGGAACUUUCCCCGGGUGUUGCCCUCGAGCGAGGGGACUCGGACAUGCGGCAGCCGGCGCGGCCAGAUGGCGGUUGUUGGUGGUGGACGAUGAUCGUGGUUGCUGAGGGAGGCCGCCUCUGUAGCAGUGGGGUGUCCUGGUGUGGGCGCCAGGCCCCAUCUGGUUGAGCUCGAUUCGCUUGGUCCGGCCGCGAUUCGGCGGUGCGGCCUCCUUUGCAUCUGUCGGGCGCAACGGUAUGUUGAUGUGGCUGGGAGGCGCAGUGCCGAACGGUGGUGGUGGCGGCACCAGGCGUGACCUUACGCUCAGACACGUCCGCCUAUUCCAGGUAUGUGAUUGUGCUCGCCGUUCUAUUGGUACAUGUUGACCCUCGGGCGCUGUCGUCGGCAGCCUGCUGAGUCUGGUGGCGCCAAGCACCUGGAGUUCUUCGCCAUGGACAUCUCCGCGAGUUCAAACCAGACUCUCCUGCCUACCUUUGUCACCAUGAGCGGCCGCCUGCUGUCGUACGCUUCCAGCUACUACAUAUUAUCAGAAUUUUGCUUCUAAUUGAUGUGAAAAAUAUGUGUGAGCAUUCAGACAAAAGGAUCAGGCAUGUUGUCCACCUUGAAAACAAAAUUAGAAGAAUCAGUAUGUAUGUUGAUGGACAGUUGUUCUGGCAAAAGAUGUUUGACUGACAAACUAAAGCUAGACAUCGGCUGGACAAUCUGGUAUACUUCCUCUUUUAUUGUUAUCCGAUUGGCACAACUGGAAUGCUAGCACUGAAGCAUCUUAAGAUGGUUCUUGUUUUUUUCCUUACAGUGUAUAAGUCAUACAUGCAGCUUUCUUGGUGUGUGGGCGAUGGAAGUGUACAAAAGAACAUGCAGAAAUCAAGAAAUGAUGAUCAGUUCCUUCAGUGGUC
Long non-coding RNA from Lolium rigidum, 1039 nucleotides. RefSeq lists it as uncharacterized. The record is from RefSeq and is a predicted model, not a curated record. Lineage: Eukaryota; Viridiplantae; Streptophyta; Magnoliopsida; Poales; Poaceae. The transcript has 2 exons.